CUGUCCUCACGCUCUUUAUUAAGCACCAAGACACCCCCAUUGUUAAGGCCAAUAACCGGGCCCUCAGCUACAUCCUGCUCAUCUCCCUCAU
Molecule: long non-coding RNA, 91 nt
Organism: Dipodomys spectabilis (banner-tailed kangaroo rat)
Lineage: Eukaryota; Metazoa; Chordata; Mammalia; Rodentia; Heteromyidae
Exons: 3
Source: RefSeq, a predicted model, not a curated record